CCAGUCCCUCAACACGUCCACUGUCAAAAUGGCGGUCCAGGCAGGCGCUGUUGACGCCCAGACCUGAGUAGUUGCCUCCGAGCGCAUCGAUGCUGUCGGUCGAUCUUCGAGUAGAGGCUGAUCACAGGGCUUCAGAAGGACAGAAAGGCAGGGGAGGCAUGGACACUUGAGAAGAAAAGGUUCCUUGUCUUCUGGAGGUUAAUGGAAACUUUUUGCCUGCCGAAAAGCAAGAAUUCCAGCACUGUUUACAGCAUUUGCUAUAAAGGAGAAGACCCAUGUUUCUUCAGACUAUUCAAAGAGUCCAUCCUUACAAAACCACUAUAGACUACUGGCAAUGGUAAGGGUAAAUGGUUCUUCCUGGGCUUGGCCGGAGUCCUGCCACAGGUGGUCAAUAGAUACAAACUGAAAGCUGAACAGAUGAAGCCACGGCAGUGUCUAUCAUUAAUCACGGCUGUGCUCUGAUCUUCUGUUUCUGGGUGUCGCAGUUACCCAGCAUCUAUCGUCCCAAUGGCUCUGCUAAGAAGGUCUUUUGUUCCACUCCAGAUGGGAUUGCCCAGUGAAAUAUUGGAGCUCCACUGAAAUUCAAUAAAUAAUGAAAACUU
Molecule: long non-coding RNA, 602 nt
Organism: Rattus norvegicus (Norway rat)
Lineage: Eukaryota; Metazoa; Chordata; Mammalia; Rodentia; Muridae
Source: RefSeq, a predicted model, not a curated record